This 267-nucleotide ribosomal RNA is filed under the name Triticum aestivum (bread wheat). RNAcentral describes it as "partial small subunit ribosomal RNA". The record is from RNAcentral. Lineage: Eukaryota; Viridiplantae; Streptophyta; Magnoliopsida; Poales; Poaceae.
AUGAAUGAAACAUAUUCAUCCGAAAAUCUUAGUUUAUCAGAAGCUUGGUCUAAAAUUCCCGAAAAAUUAGCCUUUUAUGAUUAUAUUGGUAAUAAUCCGGCAAAAGGGGGAUUAUUCAGAGCAGGCUCAAUGGACAAUGGGGAUGGAAUAGCUGUUGGAUGGUUAGGACAUCCCGUCUUUAGAGAUAAAGAAGGACGUGAGCUUUUUGUACGCCGUAUGCCUACUUUUUUUGAAACAUUUCCGGUUGUUUUGGUAGAUGAGGUGUAA